CCUUCCGUAGGGUGAACCUGCGGAAGGAUCAUUACUGAUUUGCUUAAUUGCACCACAUGUGUUUUUUAUUGAACAAAUUUCUUUGGUGGCGGGAGCAAUCCUACCGCCAGAGGUUAUAACUAAACCAAACUUUUUAUUUACAGUCAAACUUGAUUUAUUAUUACAAUAGUCAAAACUUUCAACAACGGAUCUCUUGGUUCUCGCAUCGAUGAAGAACGCAGCGAAAUGCGAUACGUAAUAUGAAUUGCAGAUAUUCGUGAAUCAUCGAAUCUUUGAACGCACAUUGCGCCCUUUGGUAUUCCAAAGGGCAUGCCUGUUUGAGCGUCAUUUCUCCCUCAAACCCCCGGGUUUGGUGUUGAGCAAUACGCUAGGUUUGUUUGAAAGAAUUUAACGUGGAAACUUAUUUUAAGCGACUUAGGUUUAUCCAAAAACGCUUAUUUUGCUAGUGGCCACCACAAUUUAUUUCAUAACUUUGACCUCAAAUCAGGUAGGACUACCCGCUGAACUUAAGCAUAUCAAUAAGCGGAGGAAAA
This 533-nucleotide ribosomal RNA is filed under the name Candida tropicalis. Its description in RNAcentral is "eukaryotic LSU rRNA". The stretch from base 174 to 327 matches the Rfam family "5.8S ribosomal RNA". The record is from RNAcentral. Lineage: Eukaryota; Fungi; Ascomycota; Pichiomycetes; Serinales; Debaryomycetaceae.